GUCGGAGGGCAAAGCCUACGCUGCAAUUUCUGAGCAAGGCUGAGCUGCCUCUCACCAGCAGGUGUCAGACCCAUUGCAAACCUCACUGAGAGCAGCCAGAACCAACCCCAUGACUGAGCAGCUGCUGCCUUCAAGGCUUGAGAAAGUCCCCUCCUUGAGACAAGCCCCUUGACACAGCAGAGGAAGGAUCAUCCCCAGCUGCCCACCAGGAACUCCCCAUCAGCAGUGGUGAGAGCUGCUGAAAUUUCUUCCCACUCAACAUCAGCAGGAAGCUUUCCUUUCAAGAAUAUUAUGGUGAAGGUACAGCAAGAACAAGGAUGAAUCCAGCACCCGGAGUUUGCCCCGAUCCAGGUGCAGAACCUGGCACUUGGCCUUGUUGAACCUCACGAGGUUCUCAUGGUCCCACUUCUCAUCUGCACCUGCACAGCUCCCUUGUGAGGCACUGCAGAAUUGCCCUCUGUGAUCCAUGGCACACACUGCAGUGGUCUGGAAUUCCAGCUUCCAGCAUGGAAAAUAUGUUCCUGCCCUCUAAAGCAAAGCUCUGAAAGGACUGAAACCCAAGCAGAGCAAGAUCUUACAAUGACAUCUCACGACCAGCCUUCAUAACUUCAUCAAGGGCUGAUUUAGCACUGCUUUAGGACUGGGGAAAAAAUCAGAGGAUGGUUUUUGGCUGGGAGCUGCCAUGGGUACACAUGGACACUAGGAAAGAAACAGAGCAGGUAUAGAAAGACAGAAGAGAAAGGAGGACACAAAGAGCACUAAACUGAGAAAGUGGUACUCUGAAAUCCAAAGUGGAACCUACUGAAAAGGAAUGGGACAGAAAUCAAGAAUUCUGAAACUUUUAUUUACUAUCCAAAUACAAUUUCCUCACUUGAUCACAAACCUCCUCCUGAUAACAAGUAAUCCAGCAUGGUUUCCAGAAAGUACUUGGUUCUGAAUGGAUGUUGCAGGAUGUUGAGGGGCAGCAUAGCAAUUUUAUUCCCUGGCCUUCGUAAUUCUGCCACAAGCCAGGUGUAACCCACACAGGAGCCCUGAACCUACAGGACCCAAGGCUGAAGUGGUGACAGGCACUACAGCUGUUAAGUCAGAAAACAAAGAAAAUAAAGGUUUCUCUUAUUUUUAUUAUUAUUAAAUAAAAUAUUAAAUUAAAAUUCAUAUUAAAUAUAAUAAAGAAAAUAGUGUCACACACUGAUAUGAAGUGACCACAGAGCAGGACAGAAGCUGUUCAACAAAACUGUUCUGUGGCUGUUAGAAAAUGCUGAUACUUCAAAAAACAUAAGGUGGGGCCAUUGUGAAAACUGGUUCAGAUUUGUCAAAAUGUCAGUUCUUUAAAAGGGUAUGUUUUGAGAAUUGGAUUCAGAAACUAAAACCAUUUUACUGCAAUUUUUAAUAAAGGAAGAAGUAGAACAAAGCCUAGAGCUAUCAAACAACCCAGACUUUAUGUUACAUCAAAGACAUGCUAUUUUGAUCUGUAUUGGCAAGGAGGAAAAAAUUUGAAGUUGAAAGAUUCCAUGGAAAAGGAAAAACAUUUCAUCCAUGUCUAAUUUUAAUAAUCCAGCAUGCUCUAGUAAACAAAAUUAAAUGUAAAAUAUAAAUAAAAAACAGCCCCUUCCUCAUUUUGGAGGUUUAUCAGUCACUGCAGUCUUGUUAUAUUUAUGCUAUUGGUAAAAUAAUAGUAUAAAAAAAGUGAAACGCUGUAUCUUCUCCUAAACUGAUGAGAAUCCAAAUACCAAGUAGUUCAUAAAGCAGUUUUUGAGGAGCACAUGCAAAUUUGACAGCCAUAUCCAUUGACAGUUCUGCCAGCUACUGCUCUGGGCUGGAAGAAUUCAAUGACCCAGCAGAGCUAUGCUUAAAUAACCUACAGUAACAAUUCUGCUGAGAAAAGCUUUGCACAGCCAUAUUCCUGCAGCUACUACUUAUCAGAUGCUGCCUGAGCAGCAAACUAUUCCUCUAGAAACAGGCCUGUGGGAACAGGAACAUCGAGGGAAACAACAGUAUGGAAAAUUUCUGACUUUUGAGAAGGCAGGCGGAUCUCUGAAAUUACCCAAACCAAGCAGAGGUUGCAGAUGGUGGACAGAGUUUGGGAAUAAAGGAAGGGCUACCUUCCUCAGAGUUAAGACCUCAGAGUUUUAUAGCAAGUGAAGCAACAGUAAAUCACUCUGGUGCUAAACCAAAGACCAAAGAGCAGUAGCAGAAAACCUCCUAAAACCCUGGUGAGCACCCCGAGGCUCAUCCUGCAUGGGGAACUCUGAUUCCAAGGGAGUUAUUACUGAAGGGUAACGAGUCCCAGGGCAAGGGCAGUGGCUGCAGGCUGAGUGGAAGUUCCCAUGCUAAGACCAGGAGCCUGGGUUGCUCCCACAUCCCCAGGUCAUCGUGAGAGGAAGCUGAUGUUUGUGCUGCCAGAGCAACACAGGGUCACUCACUCAGAGGAGAGCUGGCUUCCACUCUUAACUCAGCCACUGGCCUCUUGCUUGGCUGCUCUGUCUCCCCAUUUCCUGGCAAGGCUGACCUCCUUCUUAAAAAUUGCUGAGAUUUACUCCUGAGAAGUCCUGUAGAAGCACCAGUGGUUGCAAUGAGCCCAUCAUUUUAAUUUAUCCACAUAAAAUAGGCAAGUACUUGAGUCCCUGUAGGAAUUUUCAUAAGCACACUGUGAUUUAUCAGUAGCCUAAUUACCAGAUUCCUCAGCUGUUUAAGGAGCUGUGAGAAGAGGAUGCAUCCUUCCUCGGACCAGCUGAUACAGUCAGAAAAGUCAGGCAAGCUUUCAAGUACAUGAUCCCACUACGUUUGUAGACUCACACAACUCAUAUAAUGAAAUUAAGUACAGUCUUCACCCAGAGAGUCCUGGGCAUACAUCUUGUCAUGGGGUGGCACAUCUUCAUGCAUAAAUGGAGAGAGCUGGAAAAGAUCAGCAAUGUGGUACUCUGAUUCCAUAAGCCAGUUCUCAGCUCUCAAAUGCUUUUAUAUUUCUUCAGAGAACACUUCCCUCAACCUGCAUCUAAUCUCUGACUAAGCUCAGCACACAAGUGGUAUUUAACAAACAGCUUCCAUUAAGAUUCCCAGACCACUUAAUUUCUGGCUGUUCCUUCUUUGUAAAUAACCCUGAGCGAUUGCUUCCCUUGCUGCACAAGAAAUGCUUUUAAUCACACGAGCCUCUGAGAUCUCAAGUGCCAUCAGAAGCAAUGUUUGUUUUUUACUGCAAGAAGAAACAAGUAUGUACCAAAAAAACCAAACCAAAACAAAACAAUGGAAGUUGGGUUAGAAAGAACGAGGGUAAAUAUUUAAGAAAUGCUAUCAGAAAUCUCAUUUAAUCUCAUUUUUCUCGUUAGAGUAGAAUAAUCAAGGAAUACGCCAGGGUGUCCCAUGCUCUGGGACUGUCAUUUUUAAAGCUGAAUCUACCUGCAAAUUACUGGUUUCAAGUAGAACCUAGAAGACCCAGGUGAGAUGAGACUGGAUAUUGGUGCUGCACUUGUUGAUUGAAAAAGUUGAUGCCUUUACACUGACAGGAUGAACAAGAGACAAAGUGAACAGCUGCAGCAGGGUGAUGUGACUGACCCCAGGUAACCCAGAGCAGCAGCACAGCUGAGAGCAGAUGCUUUGUGCCUUUGCCAAACCUUUUUUUCUGCUUCCUUUUCAAAUUUAUCACUACUCCUUUCCCAGUGAGUCAUCAGCUGAAGGAGAUUAGACAAACUCUUUAGCCACUGUAAAAAACCCUGGUAAACACGUCCCUCCUUGAAGCAAUAGUUUCAUUUGCUGCACUGAGUAUCUUAGCAUGUAACGCCAACACUUGCUCCAGACUGUACUUUAGCCUUCUCUGCAAAGCCUGUAACCCUGUGACCCUCGAUGACAAACUCUAGUUGGCAUGAAAGUCCAGUGGGAGCUAAGCUUUCAUCACACCAAAUACAUAAUUUGAUGCUGUUGCUGUACUGAAACCUGCAGACAUCAUUAAUCAGGCCCAGCAUAGUGUAAUCUGCGCUCUGCACACACACAAUCUUCAUUUGAAUCAUGCAAUUCCUUCAGCAGCGGUAUUUUUUGCUAACAAAUCAGUUGAUUGUGAAUUUCUCCUGAAGUGGCAGGACAAAGAACAAACUCUACCCUUGCUAGGAUGCAGUUUACAGCAGAAUUUCAAUUGUUUACAAAAACUCUCUGAGGAGAUGCAGUGCCCUUAAUCAUUAAAUAUACAGCAGAAUUUGCUUAUUCCAAAUGGACAGGCCAGACCUGUAGAUCCAUAGCACUGACAGCCUUUCCAGACCUUUCCCUAAAUAAGGCCAGGAAAGAGCUAAGGACAAUAGUAGAGGAAGUCUCAUAGUACAUCAGCAGAGGCCCUCCAACCACUUAAACUUUUGCUAGUCUUGGCUCUGCUCCAGGCCUGCCUCAUUAACCACCAGCAGGUGACUUCAGCUUGUUAAGUGUCAUCUUUCUGUGAGCACAGGAUAAUUACACAAACCACUUCCCACUUCCUGAGACGACUUACACAACUGCUGCCCAUGAGCAAUGUUAUGCACAAAGCCACUGAUUCCGUGAAGCAACCAGCCAAGGGGCUGACAGAACCAGACAGGAUCUGUACUGCUGUUUUCUGACACAAAGUGGUAACCAAGACAGAAAAUUCAGCAUGAAACUCACCUCAACAGCCUUGGCAAUCUGCCCCUCGAGAACGACCCACUUACAACCUGUGAGGUUGGUUUGAGCGCUGGUGCAACAGCUCCAGCCAGGUUCACUGAAGUUGGCAGAGCUCCCAGCACAGCAGGAGUGAAACUCCAGACCCAUCCCUUGCUCCCCCCUCCACCUAAGAAUGAGCACUAACACCUGGGAUUUGUAAUCCAAUGUGGCCUGUCAUUACUGACUGCGGGCUGCUUUCAUGAACACAUUGAUCAGUAUGAGCAACAGUGAACACUGCACCGAAUGAGGAUUCACAAACUUGGAAGGCUACAGACACACAGCUUUAACGAGUUUAUACAGCAACUUUUGGCUGGCCACCAGCAGCAUCCUGCUUGUACAAUCUGCCUUUCCUGUACUCAAUCUUCACACCACACAAACAUUAACCAAGUCUCUCUGGUAACUCCAUUGCUCUCUCCACUUCUAUGAACUCCACACUAGGACAUCAAUCCAAGUCCCUCCCAGCCCUGUCACCAGAGUCAAACAGUUUCAAGACCUCUCCUUAUCUGCACAGGUCACAGUGACCUCACUGGCAAAACAAGAGCAGAAUUUACUACAACCUUCCUGCCAUAACCUCUGCCACUGUUGGCAUAAGCACAUUUAUUGCCCAAAGACUGAAUUUACUGCACAUUUUGAAGGCCUCAUGCAACAAAACUUCACAAACUCAUAAUCAUUUUUACCAUUUAACUUCUCAGUCUUUUUCUUUACAACUUAGGAUGUCUUGCCCACCUCUUCCCAAGUCCUUUUUCAUUUACUGUGGGAAAAAUGUUGCUGCCCACUAUGCCAAGUACUACUGAAAUAUAAACUUCCAUCUCUGUGGGAACACGCCCUGUGCUCCUCUUACCCCAGUAGCUUUGGUCUAUCAAGACUCAUCUCUGCCAUUUCCCCAGCCUAAAUUCCAUCUUGAGAUACUUGUUUUUCUCCAAUCUGUAGAACAAACUUCCUGAGGACCAGAUGUCCUCCUUUGUGCCCACUACUGCCUUACAUUAGCCCUUCCACCACCUUUGCAAGCCCCAGUGCAGAGUGCUGCUCACAGCCCUGUGCUCCUGUGGAUUUGGCUGCCAAAUGACUCCUCUGCCACAGACAAACCUAAAGCACCAAGCGCAAACCUUUACACUCAAAGCUGGAGUUGCAGAUCCCACAGGCCACCUCCACAGCACACAUUUCCCUUGGUGUAUCCAUCUCCUAACUGUGAUUCUAGUAUUUCUAGAUACACACAGGGGAGGGAACACUGCCUUUGGAAGAUAUUUAAGUGCAUGUUGCACAUUCAGGGACAUCGCAUGACAACACAAAGCCCUGCAUGAUGAGGUUGAUAAUUAAUGCAAGUCUAAAGCAGGUAAAUUUAGUGUGGUCCACAGUCGGUGUGCUCAGGGCAGGUGCUCCAGCAUGCUAUCCUGGGAAUCAGAGUAAUCUCCAUCCUUUCCAUUAUCCUCCAAGGCCCAGACACAGCACUGGAUUGGUGGUGUAGAUGUCAUUUCCUAUAUGGAUCCAGGAUUGCAGGGGCACAUCACACCUUUACCAGUCUUUACCCCCUGCCAUUCACCUGCACCACACUUUUAUGGAUCAGAGGAUACAGGCAUUACGUUUUUUUUCCCCCACCCUCUUCCUUACCAGGAAAUCACAAGUUUCUAGUCAUUUCAGCACCAAAUUUGAAACCCAGGCUCUUUCUAAAUCCCUUUCUCUCAAAUGAAGCAAAUUUCUCCCUCUUCAGAGAUGUGACACACCUGAAUCUGUUCUUUCCACUCUAUUCCCUUGGAUAUUUCAGUAUUUCACCUCAUUUUGGCUUUUCAAUACCUAGGAACAAUAAACAGAUACGACAUCAAAACUUAAAGCUCUCUACAAGGCACUCCUGUGAACUUCAGAGGAACAACUGUGAGGUGAAGUCCAAGCAGUCAGGGGCUGAGGAACCAAGCCUAACUUGACAAGGUUUAAUUAGGUUGUUACAGCCAAACUCAGUUCCCCUAAUGGACAAAGCGAGGUGGUUUCCUCCCCUCGUCUGUCCCAGCUCUGCUCUGCUGGCACCUGAUCCUUACACAGUAACCCUGCACUGUGGGGCACAGGCCAUUUUAGCUUCUUUCAGCUACAGCCCUGAGCCUGGCUGCCAUCUGUCACCACACUGACGUGUGCCACACUAGAGUCACCUGCUUCCAGAGCUGCACGUGAAUGAGACUGCUGGGGCUACAGAGCUCAUAAACCAGGAGUGACGCUUCACAAAUGAAUAGACUGUGCAGUUCAACUUUUUUAUUUUAAUAAAAUCAAGAAUAUGCACAGCACAUGCAGUGCUAGCAUCUAAACUAAUACAAUAAGCAAUUCUAAACCUACAGUGACUUGAAGUUCAAUUUUCACAUUCAGCAAGUUUAAAUCCAUUCUUGCAUAUUGGUUUGAAUCCUUGUAUCUGAACUGAAAAUAUUGCUGGCUGAUAAAACUUGCUAAAAUGCACAAGUCACUGAUUAUGCCAAUACAACAAAGAUAACCACAUGUUUGAGGAUUGCAAUGUGCCAGACAUUCACUGAAAAAAAAAAAAACACACAACUAAACAAAACUCACGCAACAAACAUCUGAGAAUCUGGACACUUCACAU
Long non-coding RNA from Poecile atricapillus (Black-capped chickadee), 7234 nucleotides. RefSeq lists it as uncharacterized. NCBI's taxonomy places the organism in Eukaryota, Metazoa, Chordata, Aves, Passeriformes, Paridae. The record is from RefSeq and is a predicted model, not a curated record. The transcript has 2 exons.